This is a long non-coding RNA of Orcinus orca (killer whale), 1970 nucleotides long. RefSeq lists it as uncharacterized. The transcript is spliced from 2 exons. The record is from RefSeq and is a predicted model, not a curated record. NCBI's taxonomy places the organism in Eukaryota, Metazoa, Chordata, Mammalia, Artiodactyla, Delphinidae.
CGCCCCCUUGGCGCCCCACCUCCCGGGCUCUCCUACGGCCCCGCCCACUUAGCGCCCACCCGACCUUCGGCGCUUCGGCGCUCACCCCCGCGUUCCCGGUUCACCGUGGACCCCUACCCCGUACCCCCCGCGCCCACCCCCACCGCUGCGCCCAUCCCCGGCGCAACCUUGAGAACCUCUCGAGACUCCCGCCUCACCCCCGCGCCCUCCUCGCGCGAUCGAGCCCUGCCCGGGCUGCCCCACUCCCGGCGAGGUGAGUUCCGCGACCAGCCCCCAAAGCUGCUUGUUUUGUGAGGGAUACAAAGAGCUUAUGCAUCAGUUCCGCACUCACCAAAUUUCUAAUCCAGGAUAUGUGCGAUCUCCUUUGGGAGAUGAAGGCUCUAACUUCAAAAAUUUGUCUGAGGACUUCUGACUCUGGCCGGAUGGUGUCACCGGUACCAGAGUUGCUCUCCCACCUUAAUCAACUAGAAAACUGAACAAAACCUAGGAGACAGCUGCUUUUGGCUACUGGAUAACAGGCAACAAGGGACUGUGGUCCCUGAGAGAGUGAUCACAAAUAAGAGAGUCCUGUGGUUGCCCUGGCUUUCCAUCCAGAGGCACUUCCAGAAUCCCAGCAGAGUGGGGAAGGCUCAAGCCUGAAGAGACGGAGAUGGGUAUGUGGAGAGACAGAGGCAGCUGGAACUCAUCGGGCAGAACAUGGACAGGAGAGAGCUAUGCAAAGUGGUCCAGAAAUCCGUGUGCGGCUACCCUGAAGCCUUUGCUGAACACCUGGCUGCCCAGGCAUGGGAUGUGAUGACAAAGAACAAUCGUCAGACCUCCCACAGGGCUGGGAGAUGCUGAGAUCUGACAACCAGAGGGGAGAGACUGGGUGAACACCCAGUGUCAGCAGGCAGUGGAGAAACCAGAGACUGACUUCUCAGUAACGGGGCUCUACUACCUCUAGGUAAAGGCAUUUGUUGUAUUUAAAUGAACCAAUCUUCUAAGAACUGGCUUACUUUUUAGGACCAUGAAAAGUCCUAGUUCUAGUUUUCUUAAUGUUUGUAUACAUAGCUUAACUAUUUUCUACAUGCCCAGAUCCCACAGAGACACCCUGGCACCAUCAGUUUGAGGCUUAAAGUUGGAAGUUUAGGCAUUUUAUUAGGAAUAGUUACAAAAUUAAAGCCUACCGUCAAAAGAAGAUUAAUUUUAAUAACUUUUAUUUGUGUAGCACUGUAUGCUUUCUUUUUAAAGUAUAGAGCAUGUAAUGCAAAUUAAAUGUUAUUUUUUUAAAGUGUAAGUUAUAGAUAACACAAAGAAGAAAAUCAGAUGGCCUAUAAUGCCACCAUUGACAGAUAACAAUUCUUUGUACUGUGUCCUUUUUAAAGAGUACUUUAUCAUACAUUAUCUCAUUUGGUCAUCACAACAGCUGAUUACGCAGAUGGAGUGCAUAUUAUUAUCCACAUUUUACAGAUAAAAUUAAGUGGCUUGCAUAAAGACACUCUGCUUAACGGCCAGGAAGCCAGACCUGGGCUCAGAUACUCUGACUGUAGAUGCUUCUAGUCCCUGGGAGUUGAAGUUCCCAAUGAACUAUUCCCAAAACAGUCUUCAGUUAGCUUUUCCAUUAAGGUGGAAAAGAGGCCAAGAAAACAGUUCAACUGUAACCAGCAAAUAAACUUUUUAGGCUUAAAUAGUUAAGGGAAACCUUUCAGGAAAGUGAAGAGAAAUGCAUUCAGGAGAAAUGCACUGAGACUCAUCUUUCCCUGAGUCGAAGAAAGAGGCUGGGUUUCAUUUCACUUUCGGGUAGCAGAUUUUAUGAGAGAGAGGAGGAAAUCCUAAUUUAUAUAUCACACACUAGGUGAGAGAGCAAGGUAACCCUGAUCGAGAAUUACACUGGGAUAAUUUGAGGAUGCAACUAAGAGGGGGGAAAGCCUGAAGUUUAAAUUGUCAUUUUGUAAAUCAAAGAAGAAUAAAGAAUUCUCCCAUUUCUCCAA